GAUGAACGCUGGCGGCGUGCCUAAUACAUGCAAGUCGAGCGAACAGACGAGGAGCUUGCUCCUUUGACGUUAGCGGCGGACGGGUGAGUAACACGUGGAUAACCUACCUAUAAGACUGGGAUAACUUCGGGAAACCGGAGCUAAUACCGGAUAACAUGUUGAACCGCAUGGUUCAACAGUGAAAGACGGUCUUGCUGUCACUUAUAGAUGGAUCCGCGCCGCAUUAGCUAGUUGGUAAGGUAACGGCUUACCAAGGCAACGAUGCGUAGCCGACCUGAGAGGGUGAUCGGCCACACUGGAACUGAGACACGGUCCAGACUCCUACGGGAGGCAGCAGUAGGGAAUCUUCCGCAAUGGGCGAAAGCCUGACGGAGCAACGCCGCGUGAGUGAAGAAGGUCUUCGGAUCGUAAAACUCUGUUAUUAGGGUAGAACAAAUGUGUAAGUAACUAUGCACGUCUUGACGGUACCUAAUCAGAAAGCCACGGCUAACUACGUG
This 497-nucleotide ribosomal RNA is filed under the name uncultured bacterium. RNAcentral's name for it is "partial 16S ribosomal RNA". It matches the Rfam family "Bacterial small subunit ribosomal RNA", at positions 28 to 507 of the family's 1533-position model. The record is from RNAcentral.